UACGAAGGGGGCUAGCGUUGUUCGGAAUUACUGGGCGUAAAGCGCACGUAGGCGGACAUUUAAGUCAGGGGUGAAAUCCCAGAGCUCAACUCUGGAACUGCCUUUGAUACUGGGUGUCUUGAGUAUGGAAGAGGUGAGUGGAAUUCCGAGUGUAGAGGUGAAAUUCGUAGAUAUUCGGAGGAACACCAGUGGCGAAGGCGGCUCACUGGUCCAUUACUGGCGCUGAGGUGCGAAAGCGUGGGGAGCAAACCGG
Molecule: ribosomal RNA, 253 nt
Filed under: uncultured bacterium
Lineage: Bacteria
Description: partial 16S ribosomal RNA
Rfam family: Bacterial small subunit ribosomal RNA
Source: RNAcentral